CUCAAUUGUAUUGUGUUCUUUGAAGAAAAGGUGUCUGUCCUUAUGUUGGCACAUUUAAUUGAAGGAAUAAUGAAAUGCAACAUUCAGCUGAUGAGGAGGGCCAAGACCAUCCUGCUGCAGGAUUCUUCAAGACUUGUGGAACCUAUUUCGUGGCUCAGGGAACUUCCAGCAUUUUUGAGGAGACUGAAUUUCUUUUGAUCAUAGAAGAACAAAAAGAGAUAUUAACUAUGGAGUGUCUACCCUUGACAGGGUAUCCAUGCAUCAUGCCCUGGAGAUGCAAAGGAGGCCUGGUUAGAAGAAAUAUGCUGGGGGUAACUGCAAGUCCUUGUCAUCAUGUCACACUGGGUACUGGUGGGGCUGGCACCCUGGACCUAGACAGCCAGAGUACUGACAGACACAGAAACACAGAAACAUCAGGGAACUCUUUUCAGAUUUUCU
RNAcentral lists this long non-coding RNA (438 nucleotides) under Cricetulus griseus (Chinese hamster). RNAcentral's name for it is "lncRNA (ENSCGRG00015030800.1)". The record is from RNAcentral. Lineage: Eukaryota; Metazoa; Chordata; Mammalia; Rodentia; Cricetidae.